Molecule: ribosomal RNA, 253 nt
Filed under: uncultured bacterium
Lineage: Bacteria
Description: partial 16S ribosomal RNA
Rfam family: Bacterial small subunit ribosomal RNA
Source: RNAcentral
UACGAAGGGGGCUAGCGUUGCUCGGAAUCACUGGGCGUAAAGGGCGCGUAGGCGGCCGAUUAAGUCGGGGGUGAAAGCCUGUGGCUCAACCACAGAAUUGCCUUCGAUACUGGUUGGCUUGAGACCGGAAGAGGACAGCGGAACUGCGAGUGUAGAGGUGAAAUUCGUAGAUAUUCGCAAGAACACCAGUGGCGAAGGCGGCUGUCUGGUCCGGUUCUGACGCUGAGGUGCGAAAGCGUGGGGAGCAAACAGG